UUCCUUCUUGUUAAGAAGGUAAGGCCUGCUCACUGAAAAUUAAAGAGCCGCAGUAUUUUGACUGUGCUAAGGUAGCAUAAUCAUUAGUCUUUUAAUUGGAGACUGGUAUGAAUGGCUAAACGAAAAAUGAACUUUUUUUGUUACUAAGAUUGAAUUUAACUUUUAAGUGAAAAGGCUUAAAUAGUUCAGAAAGACGAGAAGACCCUAUAGAGUUUAAUAUGUUAAGAAUAUAGAUUUUUUAGAUUUUUUUAAUUUAUGUUUACGGUUCGUAUUUUGUUGGGGCGACAUUAAGAUAAGAGUAACUCUUGAUAUUAAAAACUUCAAUAGAAGUUUAUUUGAUCCUUUAAAAAAGAUUACAAGGAAAAAUUACCUUAGGGAUAACAGCGUAAUCUUUUUUGAGAGUUCUAAUCGACAAAAAGGUUUGCGACCUCGAUGUUGGACUAAAAUUUAGGCAAGGUGCAGCAGUUUUGCUUUAGGGUCUGUUCGACCCUUAAAAUUUUACACGAUCUGAGUUCAGACCG
Molecule: ribosomal RNA, 521 nt
Filed under: Pollicipes pollicipes
Lineage: Eukaryota; Metazoa; Arthropoda; Thecostraca; Pollicipedomorpha; Pollicipedidae
Description: partial 16S ribosomal RNA
Rfam family: Bacterial large subunit ribosomal RNA
Source: RNAcentral